AAUGGGGGNCCUGANGCCGCCACCCCCGUGGAGGAAGAAGGCCUCCCNGAUUGUAACCNCCUGUUGUUGAGGAAGAUAAUGNCGGUCCNCACCAAGGAAGUGNCGNCUANCUNCGUNCCACCACCCCCGGUAAUNCGUAGGGGNCAACCGUUAUCCGGAUUUNCUGGGUGUAAAGGGACCGUAGACGGUUUUCAAGUCCUGAAGUGAAACCCCGGGGCCUUACCCCCGGGACCUGCCUUUGGAANCUGUAGGNNCUAGAGUGCAGGAGAGGUAAGUGGAAUUCCUAGUGUACCGGUGAAAUGCGUAGAUAUUAGGAGGACCCCCAGUGGCCGAAGGCGGCCUUACUGGACUGUANCUGACGUUGAGGCUCGAAAGCCGUGGGGACCAANCAGGAUUAGAUNCCCUGGUAGUCCCAAGGGCCGAAUUC
RNAcentral lists this ribosomal RNA (427 nucleotides) under uncultured bacterium. RNAcentral describes it as "partial small subunit ribosomal RNA". It matches the Rfam family "Bacterial small subunit ribosomal RNA", at positions 370 to 807 of the family's 1533-position model. The record is from RNAcentral.